Molecule: ribosomal RNA, 750 nt
Filed under: Desulfobaculum senezii
Lineage: Bacteria; Pseudomonadati; Thermodesulfobacteriota; Desulfovibrionia; Desulfovibrionales; Desulfovibrionaceae
Description: bacterial SSU rRNA
Rfam family: Bacterial small subunit ribosomal RNA
Source: RNAcentral
CAGUCGAGCGAGAAGCUCCUUCGGGAGUGAGUAGAGCGGCGCACGGGUGAGUAACGCGUGGAUGAUCUACCCAGAUGAUCGGGAUAACAGUUGGAAACGACUGCUAAUACCGGAUACGCUCCCAUUUCGAACUGGGGGGAAAGGUGGCCUCUUCAUGAAAGCUACUGCAUCUGGAUGAGUCCGCGUCCCAUUAGCUUGUUGGUGGGGUAAAGGCCUACCAAGGCAACGAUGGGUAGCUGGUCUGAGAGGAUGAUCAGCCACACUGGGACUGGAACACGGCCCAGACUCCUACGGGAGGCAGCAGUGGGGAAUAUUGCGCAAUGGGGGAAACCCUGACGCAGCGACGCCACGUGGGGGAUGAAGGCCUUCGGGUCGUAAACCUCUGUCAGAAGGGAAGAAACGCGCCAUUUCAAAUAGGCUUGGCGUCUGACGGUACCUUCAGAGGAAGCACCGGCUAACUCCGUGCCAGCAGCCGCGGUAAUACGGAGGGUGCGAGCGUUAAUCGGAAUCACUGGGCGUAAAGCGUACGUAGGCGGCGUGUCAAGUCAGGUGUGAAAGCCCUCGGCUCAACCGGGGAAUUGCACUUGAAACUGAUAUGCUAGAGUUCUGGAGGGGGUAGCGGAAUUCCCGGUGUAGGAGUGAAAUCCGUAGAUAUCGGGAGGAACACCAGUGGCGAAGGCGGCUACCUGGACAGUAACUGACGCUGAGGUACGAAAGUGUGGGGAGCAAACAGGAUUAGAUACCCUGGUA